UGGGGAAUAUUGCACAAUGGGCGCAAGCCUGAUGCAGCCAUGCCGCGUGUAUGAAGAAGGCCUUCGGGUUGUAAAGUACUUUCAGCGGGGAGGAAGGGAGUAAAGUUAAUACCUUUGCUCAUUGACGUUACCCGCAGAAGAAGCACCGGCUAACUCCGUGCCAGCAGCCGCGGUAAUACGGAGGGUGCAAGCGUGAAUCGGAAUUACUGGGCGUAAAGCGCACGCAGGCGGUUUGUUAAGUCAGAUGUGAAAUCCCCGGGCUCAACCUGGGAACUGCAUCUGAUACUGGCAAGCUUGAGUCUCGUAGAGGGGGGUAGAAUUCCAGGUGUAGCGGUGAAAUGCGUAGAGAUCUGGAGGAAUACCGGUGGCGAAGGCGGCCCCCUGGACGAAGACUGACGCUCAGGUGCGAAAGCGUGGGGAGCAAACA
This 427-nucleotide ribosomal RNA is filed under the name uncultured bacterium. RNAcentral's name for it is "partial 16S ribosomal RNA". It matches the Rfam family "Bacterial small subunit ribosomal RNA", at positions 355 to 774 of the family's 1533-position model. The record is from RNAcentral.